RNAcentral lists this unclassified non-coding RNA (200 nucleotides) under Pleosporales sp. RNAcentral's name for it is "partial internal transcribed spacer 2". The record is from RNAcentral. Lineage: Eukaryota; Fungi; Ascomycota; Dothideomycetes; Pleosporales.
UUAAGUUCAGCGGGUAUCCCUACCUGAUCCGAGGUCAAGUCAAAGAAGGGGCUUCUGGAGGACCAGUAUACCAAGACGCCAGACGCGUUGUACUGCGCUGUAGCCAAUAUACCGGCCGCCAAUGCAUUUGGGGUGAGUCCGCCGCGGGGCGGGGACAAGCACCCAACACCAAGCUGAGCUUGAAGUUUCUAAUGACGCUC